RNAcentral lists this transfer RNA (90 nucleotides) under Lentisphaerota bacterium. RNAcentral describes it as "Lentisphaerae bacterium (marine metagenome) tRNA-Ser". It matches the Rfam family "tRNA". Rfam says of the family: Transfer RNA (tRNA) molecules are approximately 80 nucleotides in length. Their secondary structure includes four short double-helical elements and three loops (D, anti-codon, and T loops). RNAcentral also lists the same sequence under 1 other name. The record is from RNAcentral. Lineage: Bacteria; Pseudomonadati; Lentisphaerota.
GGAGAGGUGGCUGAGCGGCCGAAGGCUCUGGUCUUGAAAACCAGCGUAGACGCAAGUCUACCGUGGGUUCGAAUCCCACCCUCUCCGCCA